This 497-nucleotide ribosomal RNA is filed under the name uncultured bacterium. RNAcentral's name for it is "partial 16S ribosomal RNA". It matches the Rfam family "Bacterial small subunit ribosomal RNA", at positions 28 to 507 of the family's 1533-position model. The record is from RNAcentral.
GAUGAACGCUGGCGACGUGCCUAAUACAUGCAAGUCGAGCGAACGGACGAGAAGCUCUCUUCUCUGAUGUUAGCGGCCGACGGGCGAGUAACUAGUGGAUAACCUACCUAUCUGACUGUGAUAAAUUCGGGAACCCGUAGCUAAUACCUGAUACUUUUUUGAACCGCAUGGUUCCAAAGUGCAAGACGAUCUUUCUGUCACUUAUAGAUGGAUCCGCGCUGCAUUAGCUAGUUGGUAAGGUAACGGCUUACCAAGGCAACGAUGCAUAGCCGACCUGAGAGGGGAAGCGGCCACACUAGAAUUGAGACACGGUCCGGACUCCAAUGGUAGGCAGCGGUAGAGAAUCUACCGCAAGGGGCGAAGGCCUGACGGAGCAACGCCGCGUGAGUGAUGAAGGGCCUCGGAUCGGAGAACUCUGUUAUUAGGGAAGAACAUUUGUGUAAGUAACGUGUCACAUCUUGAAGGUACCGAAUCAGAAAGGCACGGCUAACUACGUG